UCAGACGAUGCGUCAUGCAUAUCAAUAAGCGGAGGAAAAGAGGGCUAUUACCUACGCUUAGGAUGUUGACGCGCGUGUGUGCGUGAGUCUAUACAUGACUCUGUGCAUAUCAAUAAGCGGAGGAAAAGGUACCUACGCUUAGGAUGUUGACGCGCGUGUGUGCGUGAGUCUAUACAUGACUCUGUGCAUAUCAAUAAGCGGAGGAAAAGCCAACUACCUACGCUUAGGAUGUUGACGCGCGUGUGUGCGUGAGUCUAUACAUGACUCUGUGCAUAUCAAUAAGCGGAGGAAAAGGUACCUACGCUUAGGAUGUUGACGCGCGUGUGUGCGUGAGUCUAUACAUGACUCUGUGCAUAUCAAUAAGCGGAGGAAAAGAAACUAACAAGGAUUCCCCUAGUAACGGCGAGUGAAGCGGGAAGAGCUCAAAUUUGAAAUCUUAAAGGGUUUCCCUUUACGAAUCGUAGUUUAAAGAAGUGUUUUCUGUUGAGGUUUUGGUAAAAGUUCUUUGGAAUAGGACAUCAUAGAGGGUGAGAAUCCCGUAUUUGACCUUUACUUUCAACUUUGUGAUACACUUUCAAAGAGUCGGAUUGUUUGGGAAUGCAGUCCAAAAUGGGUGGUAAAUUUCAUCUAAAGCUAAAUAUUGGCGAGAGACCGAUAGCGAACAAGUACCGUGAGGGAAAGAUGAAAAGAACUUUGAAAAGAGAGUUAAACAGUACGUGAAAUUGUCAAAAGGGAAGCGUUUGACACCAGUGUUGUUUUUCUGAAAAUCAAUUAAAGAACUGUUUAUGCUAAGCUGUUUAGACUUUAUCAGCUAAUCUGUUUAGUUUUGAGCUUUUCUUUAAUGCACUUUUCAGUUAACAAGUCAACAUCUAUUUCUUUUGCUGUAAAAAAGCUUGAGGAAGGUGGCUUGAGAUUCGUCUUAAGUGUUUAUAGCCUCUUGCCUAUGCAGUCGGAGAGAUUGAGGUCUGCAGCGUAGAUCCUUCGGGGCUAAAUGCAUUUGUGCUAAGUUAUAGGCAUUUUAUAGACAACUUGUUGACUAUGAUUUGUCUUGUAGCUUACUCGCUUAUGUUAUUUUACCUACGCUUAGGAUGUUGAAGAUGUAGCACAUCAU
RNAcentral lists this ribosomal RNA (1111 nucleotides) under uncultured Neocallimastigales. Its description in RNAcentral is "partial large subunit ribosomal RNA". The stretch from base 314 to 1111 matches the Rfam family "Eukaryotic large subunit ribosomal RNA", at positions 1 to 635 of the family's 3401-position model. Lineage: Eukaryota; Fungi; Neocallimastigomycota; Neocallimastigomycetes; Neocallimastigales. The record is from RNAcentral.